Panicum virgatum (switchgrass) is the source of this 1407-nucleotide RNA transcript. It is a transcript of the gene named mediator of RNA polymerase II transcription subunit 31-like, with no coding region annotated. Lineage: Eukaryota; Viridiplantae; Streptophyta; Magnoliopsida; Poales; Poaceae. The transcript has 6 exons. The record is from RefSeq and is a predicted model, not a curated record.
CAGCUCUUCGGGGGCAAAACUGAAAAUUGGCUUAUUCCGUCCCCGCCUCCGCGGUGUCUGGUUUCCUUCUCCCUUCUCCCCCUCUCCGCCGACACCAGAGCUCGUUUCUCCUCAUGGUCGGUAACCUCGCCGGCUGCGACGCUAGCCAUCAAACCAGGAUCCUUCGACACGAAGCUUCGCUAUUCGCACCCUGCUCUUCCCCGCCCUUUACUGCUGGUAUUCUGUGGGGUGGAGGUCCGACCGCGAUCGGAUCGAUUGUUUGGGCGGUGGGGUUCAACGGAUUGAACCCCCAUGGCCGACGUCGAGUCCGCUCCUGGCGCGGGCGCGAAGGCUCCGCCUUACAAGGAAACCGACCGGUUCCUACUCGAGUUGGAGUUCGUGCAGUGCCUCGCUAACCCUACCUACAUUCACUAUCUAGCACAGAAUAGAUAUUUUGAGGAUGAGGCAUUCAUCGGAUACCUUAAGUACCUAAAAUAUUGGCAGCGCCCGGAGUAUAUCAUGUACAUAAUUUAUCCACACUGCCUUUUCUUUCUUGAGCUCCUCCAAAACGCCAAUUUCCGUAAUGCCAUGGCACAUCCAGCAAACAAGGAGCUUGCUCACAGGCAGCAAUAUUUCUUCUGGAAAAACUACAGGAAUAAUAGACUGAAGCACAUCCUACCACGCCCUCCACCCGAGCCAGCUCUGGCGCUUGCACCUUCACAAGGACCUGCAACGAUGCCCCUACCACCAUCAGUACCGACACCUGUGGCCCCACCUGUUCCUGCACCGGCAUCAUCUAUGCCACCUGUGGCAGCAGGUGGUGCAUCUGCAAUGUCUCCUAUGCAGUUUGUAGGAACUCCAGGCACCAAUAUGCCGAAGACUGACAUGAGAAAUGCUAUGGGCAACAGAAAGAGGAAGAGAGAUCUAUCCUCUUUCACCAUAGAAGUUGUCAUUUGAAGAUUGGGCGGAGCAAUCUUUUUAUUAUUUCUAUUUUUAAUCUGUUGCCUAUUUUGCAAAUAAAUUUAUUUGAAAUUUUGUUGGCACAUGCAAUUGUUACAACAGCUUGUUUGGUAGUCAAUUGGAAUAUCUAAUUUGGAAAGGUGCCAUUCUUAACUUCGCAUUGAGCUGAUGGGCUAGUUGAACAUGUUGGGCAGUUCAAUAGUCGACAAAUGGGAUGCAAGCCAGAAGUCGCUGCCUAUGGAGCCUUUUCAAUGUUCGGUAGGCCUUGUAGUUGAGAAGUCAUGUUUGAUACUGCUCUGUGGGAGCUGCAGAUGUAACUUUAGAUGUCAAUAUGCUCCUGAAUGACUAAUCAUUUGUGUUGGCGUUGUUCAGAAUUUUGUCACGGAUUAAACACCAGCAACUGGAAAUGUACAUUCAGCGCUUAUUCAUGAUCCUGAAUGAGUAAUCAUUUAUGUUGGAGUUGUUCUA